Molecule: long non-coding RNA, 2203 nt
Filed under: Olea europaea subsp. europaea
Lineage: Eukaryota; Viridiplantae; Streptophyta; Magnoliopsida; Lamiales; Oleaceae
Source: RNAcentral
CAACACGGCCCUUUUUAACACCUCUAUACGUGCAAUGUGAAAUUUUUCCUUCGUACAAAACGUAAGAAAAAAGUUCAUUGGAACCCAUCAACAAAUGCAAUACAUACAAUGAGAAAUGCAAUAACACAGUUGACAAAUAACCGAGCAACAAGCAUAUGCAAGUUCUUAGCAUAUGCUAAGCACUAAUCUAUUGCUUUUCUUAAUUUGGCUUCAGAAUAAAAAGUAAGGCAGUAAAAAGUUUCAAGGGUGCCAUAUUAAGCACUUAAUGAGAAGAAAAAUGCUCAACUCAACUCAUGAGGCAGGGAAAAACUUUGCUGUUGUGACCAGGAACAAUACAAACUAUGAAUAUGCAAAAACUUCAUCCCAUUCAUGGUGCUUCUAUAAAAGUGGUCCAACUAUAGACCCUUAGCCGCAGAACUAUAUGAUAGAUCAAUUUUCCUUUGCUUAAAUGACAGAAUCCUAAAAAAAUUACCUACAAUUUGCAUUGCCGCAAAAGACACUGGAAGAUGACAGUUUAACUUUCACUUAGGUGAACAAAGAAACAUACUUUUAUUUCAGAGAUGCAGUUCCAGCAUGGAAAUGGAAAACAGAUCAAAAUAGUACCAAACAAACUUAGAAUCCAAUUCGAUCUGUUGAAACCUGCACCUCUCUUUACAUGUCAAACAACCACUUACUUUAAAAUCCAAUUUUUAAGACAAGCCCUAAUAUUAAAAAUUGAACAGGUUUUGUACAACAGCACAAACAGAAUAAGCUACUAGUCUUGAAUUUUUAUGAGUUGGAGGGCGGAUUCAGGAAUUUAGGACGCAUGGGCUGAAAUUUAUUAAAUAGGCAAGUAACAACAAUUCAUUAAUUUGCCAACAAGGCAAUAUGAAGUAGUGAGAUUAAUCUUUGAAUUUUAACCUUCUCAAAAUUUCAAAAAUGUCACAGAAUUUUAAAAAAUGCAUUUUUAAGCUAAGAUAUGAUAAUUUGAAAAUAACAGUUUAAAUAAGAACUAUGACAUUGAAAAUAUGGUGAUGCUACAAAAAUAAUUAUGAUGAAAAACUUGAUCAAACCAUGCCAGACUGUUAUUAAAAUAAUGGUUAAAGCAGAAGCGGAGCCAGGAUAUUCGUUAGGCGAGGGCACAAAUUUUAUCAUCGCCGAACGUCGAGUUUUUGGUCAUGGAUUUAAUGAUGAUAAAAAUAUAAAACAAUAUUACAACAACACUAAAAAUGACACAGUUCAUAUAUUACACUUGUUUCUUGCGAGUUUCCAUACUUUGAUUACUACUGGGAGUAAUUCAAAAUGAUAGAAACAAAAUAAAAAUAUACUGGAAGCAAAAACAAAGCAAUUCACACUUCACAGGGCAAUUCACAUAGCAAUACUAUAAGCAAUUCACAUUCACAGGGCAAUAAAAUUUCACAAUUUCAUAGAGCAAUACUAUUUCCAGAAUUCUCACUUCAAAAUUGAAAAUUCACCAAGACUGUAAGAUUUAAGCAAUGUUAAAAAAAUAUGAAAGUCCAGCCCCAUUUUUUAGACUUGAGCAUAAAGCAGUAAAUGAAAAUUUUAAAACACUCCAUUGCCAAAGAUACCAUAAAUCCUAAAUUAAAAUAAAAAAGGAGAACAAAACAGACCACCAUCUUCUGAAAACCUCAAAUUUGUGAGGAAUUUCAAAACACAAUAGAUGCCCACAUACAAGAAUAAUCAAGAUAACAGGAAGAAUCAAUAGUUAAAGAUGUAAAGAAGACUAAAAAAAAAAAAAAAUUCAAAAUUCGAACUUUCUAACAAGAAAAAGAAGUGAGCGAAUUUCAACAAAACCACACACAAAUAAAAACAUACAUUUCAAGAAAAACAGAGAGAAUCGAAGUGAAAGUUCAAAAUAAAGCUCAAUAAAAGAUAAAAAAAAAAAAAAAAAAAAAAAAAAAAAGCCCACCCCUUUUUUAUAUCAGGAUCAAACUUUAGAGUCGCCGGCUUCCGAAAAAUCGCCGACGUCUGCUUCUGCUGCUGCAAGUGCGUCUACGGUCUAGCCGUCUAGGGCUCGAACAGCAGGGACAGUCGGAGAGCAGGGGAGGAGGAGGUUGAGACUGCGCUGGGGAAGACGGGACUGGAAGGAGUGGGCGGCGCCGCGGAGGCGGACGCCACGGAAUGGGCAACGGGUAGAAUUGGGGAAUGGAUGGAAUUGGAAUGGGUUGAAAUAGAGUGACGAAUGGGAAAAAAUCAAAAGUCA